Molecule: small RNA, 714 nt
Filed under: Pan troglodytes (chimpanzee)
Lineage: Eukaryota; Metazoa; Chordata; Mammalia; Primates; Hominidae
Description: retained intron
Source: RNAcentral
AAGACAACUCAGGAGAUCUGUUGGAAAGAGAAUGAUAGAGGAAAAUAUAUGAAUGUUGCCAUCUUUAGCUAUAGCACCACCCAGCUCAGGCCACCCACCCACCUUCGGUCCUGAGGCCUGGUUGCUCUCUGCCGGCUUCGCCCUGACCUGUUUCCGACCUGUGUUCCCUCCGCUGUGCCAGGACAGGCCCCAUGCUGCUCUGGACGGCUGUGCUGCUCUUUGUUCCCUGUGUUGGGAAAACUGUCUGGCUGUACCUCCAAGCCUGGCCAAAUCCUGUGUUUGAAGGAGAUGCCCUGACUCUGCGAUGUCAGGGAUUGAAGAAUACACCACUGUCUCAGGUGAAGUUCUACAGAGAUGGAAAAUUCCUUCAUUUCUCUAAGAAAAACCAGACUCUGUCCAUGGGAGCAGCAACAGUGCAGAGCCGUGGCCAGUACAGCUGCUCUGGGCAGGUGAUGUAUAUUCCACAGACAUUCACACAAACUUCAGAGACUGCCAUGGUUCAAGUCCAAGGUGAGUCACCAGCUUGGGAGUUUGUGGGGCAGGAGGUGCUGCUCAAGGGUCCCGUCUCUAGAGGUCUGUAGCUCUCUGGGCUGGACCCCUGUCUCUGGCUGCCCCUCAUGCUGGGCCAAUGUGUGGGGCCCCGAGGUUUCCCAAGAUGUUGUCUCAAUACCCACCUCUCCCCACCAUGGGGGACACAUGUAGCCAGGGGAAGGA